This 494-nucleotide ribosomal RNA is filed under the name uncultured bacterium. RNAcentral's name for it is "partial 16S ribosomal RNA". It matches the Rfam family "Bacterial small subunit ribosomal RNA", at positions 28 to 507 of the family's 1533-position model. The record is from RNAcentral.
GACGAACGCUGGCGGCGUGCUUAACACAUGCAAGUCGAACGGAAAGGCCUGCUUUCCCUUGUGGAUUGCGGGUACUCGAGUGGCGAACGGGUGAGUAACACGUGAGUGAUCUGCCCCCAACUUGGGUAUAAGCCUGGGAAACUGGGUCUAAUUCCCGAUAGGACUGCAGGGUGGUGCCUGUGGUGGAAAACGAUUUUCUAGUGGUUGGGGAUGAGCUCGCGGCCUAUCAGCUUGUUGGUGGGGUAAUGGCCUACCAAGGCGGCGACGGGUAGCCGGCCUGGGAGGGUGGACGGCCACAUUGGGACUGAGAUACGGCCCAGACUUCUACGGGAGGCAGCAGUGGGGAAUAUUGCACAAUGGGCGGAAGCCUGAUGUAGCGACGCCGCGUGGGGGAUGACGGCCUUCGGGUUGUAAACUCCUUUCGACCGCGAGGAAGCCACCUGGUUGGAAGGGUGGUGACGGUAGUGGUAGAAGAAGCACCGGCUAACUACGUG